This 1377-nucleotide ribosomal RNA is filed under the name uncultured prokaryote. Its description in RNAcentral is "partial 16S ribosomal RNA". It matches the Rfam family "Bacterial small subunit ribosomal RNA", at positions 27 to 1381 of the family's 1533-position model. The record is from RNAcentral.
GGACGAACGCUGGCGGCGUGCUUAACACAUGCAAGUUGAACGGGCAUACAUGGAAGCUUGCUGAAGUGUAUGUUAGUAGCGGACGGGUGAGUAAUGCAUGAGAAGCUGCCAUUGGGAGGGGGACAACAGUUGGAAACGGCCGCUAAUACCCCGUACGGUUGUGAAGCUCUCGGGCUUUGCAAAGAAAGGGGCCUUUAAAGCGUCGCCGCAAGAUGAGUCCGCCCCCCAUUAGUUUGUUGGUGAGGUAAAAGCUCACCAAGACUACGAUGGGUAGCCGAACUGAGAGGUUGAUCGGCCACACUGGAACUGAGACACGGUCCAGACACCUACGGGUGGCAGCAGUAGGGAAUAUUGCGCAAUGGGCGAAAGCUUGACGCAGCCAUGCCGCGUGGAUGAUGAAGGCCUUCGGGUCGUAAAGUCCUUUUCUGAGGGAAGAACAUCCAAGGGAGGUAAUGCCCUUGGCUUGACGGUACCUCAGGAAUAAGCAACGGCUAACUCCGUGCCAGCAGCCGCGGUAAUACGGAGGUUGCAAGCGUUGUUCGGAUUAACUGGGCGUAAAGGGAGCGCAGGCGGUCUAGUAAGUCUAAAGUGAAAGCCCGGGGCUCAACCCCGGGUCUGCUUCGGAAACUACUAGACUUGAGUACGUGAGAGGAAUGCGGAAUUUCAGGUGUAGCGGUGAACUGCGUAGAUAUCUGAAGGAACAUCGGUGGCGAAAGCGGCUCACUGGCACGAAACUGACGCUGAGGCUCGAAAGCGUGGGGAGCGAACGGGAUUAGAUACCCCGGUAGUCCACGCCGUAAACGUUGUGCACUAGGUGUGGGAGGUAUCGACCCCUCCCGUGCCGCAGCUAACGCAUUAAGUGCACCGCCUGGGGAGUACGGUCGCAAGACUGAAACUCAAAGGAAUUGACGGGGGCCCGCACAAGCGGUGGAGCAUGUGGUUUAAUUCGAGGCAACGCGAAGAACCUUACCCAGCCUUGACAUCCCGUGACCGCCAUGGAAACAUGGUUUUCUCUUCGGAGACGCGGUGACAGGUGUUGCAUGGCUGUCGUCAGCUCGUGUCGUGAGAUGUUGGGUUAAGUCCCGCAACGAGCGCAACCCUUGUCCUUAGUUACCAGCGGUUCGGCCGGGCACUCUAGGGAGACUGCCGGUGAUAAGCCGGAGGAAGGUGGGGACGACGUCAAGUCAUCAUGGCCCUUAUGGCUGGGGCUACACACGUGCUACAAUGGCCGGUACAAAGGGUCGCAAACCCGCGAGGGUAAGCCAAUCUCAAAAAGCCGGUCUCAGUUCGGAUUGGAGUCUGCAACCCGACUCCAUGAAGUUGGAAUCGCUAGUAAUCGCGUAUCAGCUACGACGCGGUGAAUACGUUCCCGGGCCU